Molecule: long non-coding RNA, 5260 nt
Filed under: Homo sapiens (human)
Lineage: Eukaryota; Metazoa; Chordata; Mammalia; Primates; Hominidae
Description: HSALNT0117537
Source: RNAcentral
CCGGGCCGGGCUCUGCUCUCACGCCGCGCCCGGGAGACCGGGGCUGGGGGGAAGGGGGGGGCGAAGGGCGGAAGGGGUGGGCGCGGGGAGCGGCCGGCGGGGUCCCGGGCAGGUGCAGCGGCCGCCCCGAGCGCAGCUCCCGCCUGGCCGAGCCUCUCGGCGCCCCGCGUCCCGGGCGGGCAGAUAUCGAGCGCCGCGGAGCCGCCCCCCGCGUCAGCGCCCACAGAUUGGCGGAGCCGCCGCCCCACGAGUCACGGCUGGGCCCGGGCCGGCUGCGCUCCCGCUCUCCUUCCUCCUCCCCUCGGCCGCGCCCCGCGACGCCUCUGAGCUCCGGGCCCGCUAAGGAGAGGGCUCCUCCUGCCCGCGGUUUGCAGAGGGAAGCGGCGGAGACCGGGAGGGCGCGCUCGGUUCUGGCCAGGCCAGCAGCUGCGGCCGAGUGGGGGGCUCCGGCCUGGCCGCUUCCUGGGACCCCCUCCCGCCCGGGGCCGCCGCCGCCAGCUGCAGCCUCUCGGCUCCUCCCCAGAGGAGCGCGGGGCCGGGGCCCAGGCCAAGUCCCUCCCCGGAGCCGCGGGGCGUCUGCGCCGCCGGAUGAGCUCCCCGCCGGGCGGCGACCCCGUGCCCCACGCCCGUCUCGGCAAGGAGGAGGCGGAGGCGGCCCCGCGAGAGAGGCCCAAGGAGCGACUGGGCCUGGACCCAGGGGACGCCAGGGCAGCGGAGCUCCCGGCACCGGUCCCGUCCCCCCCCCCCCGCCCACCCGCGGGACGCGCCCGCCUUAACCCUCCAGGCGCCGGGCCCGCUGGGGGCGCUGAGAGGGGCUGGUGUGCCGGGGGCGCCUUCCUGCUUGGGGCCGACGGGGGUGUGUGAGUGCAGGCGUGUGCGUGUGUGUGCGCAUGUGUGUGUGUGGAUGUGCGUGUGCGUGUGUAUGCCUGUGUGUGUUUGUGUGUGCGUCUGUGUGCAUGUGUGUGUGCACAUGCAUGUGUGUUCACGUGAGUGCAUCUCAUCUGUCACCCACAACCAGGGGAGCGGUGCUUGUACAACCAGCUGGUGGCUUCUGCAACCAGCAGCUUCUGGCCGUGCAGCUCCCUGUAGGGAAUAUGAGUUAAUCUGGAUGUCAGCCUAAGAUGUAGUCAGGGAGGUAAGUGUGUGGGAGGAGGCCACAUCCCCUGUGCCUCAAGCCGGCUGCUUCCACAGUGCCCAGACUGCCUGGGCCAGCAGCCUCGCCAGCAAGCCCAGGCGGGUGGGCCGGGAGCAGGGCCUGGGCCCCCCCUCUUACUUUCACCGGCUGGCUGUGUUACCAGGGCCCUCUCCGCCCUCUCUGAGCCUCAGUUUCCUCUGAUGUGAAUUAAGGGCGUUGAGCCCAUUGUUCCUGAGGAAUCACUCAUCUCUGAGCCUGGCCCAUUGCCUGGCAUUCCGUGGGCACCCACUAGAUACUUAUAAGGGGAGAAGUUGUUCCAGUCCGGCUGGCCAGUGGAAUCCAUGCGUCUUGGGCCAUUUGAAAGUGGUUUUUGGGAGCCCGGCAGCUAUCUGGACCCGUGUGCACCCCUGGACGCCUCCCUCCCUCGCAGAGGGUCCUGGUUCAUCUCGUCUGUUGCCUCUUAGAACAGUGGCCUCUACCUCGCCAGCACAAGCAGUCGAGUUAAGACAGGAGCCUCGUUCAAAGUUCCGCCCGGGGCCAGGCACAGCGCAGGCUCUCAGAGGAGGGCCCAGGAGUCCACAGGCUGCGGCGGCGCGAGACAAAAGUCGGAAGACAGGACCCCGCUGAGGAGUGAGGAGACAGCGGCCAACCCUCCGCCAGACCCUUCCGCCUGGUGCCUUUACUGGGCUCUGAGGAGGAAUUUGGUGGUUCAGUCGGCCCAUCCGUGGACACCAUAAAAACAAAGAGAAAACAGACACACACAGAUGCACACAUAGAUACACACAGAUACACACAGACACGGAUAUAUAGACACACACAGAUACACACACGUGGACACAGACACACACAUAGACACAGAUAUAUAGACACACACAGAUACACACACGUGGACACAAACACACACAGACAUACCCAUAGUUACGGAUAUAUGCAUGGAUACACAAUACACAGACACACAGAUGAUACAUGCAUAGACAGAUAUAUGGACACACACACACGGACACACAGAUACACACAUAGACACAUAGACAGACACAGAUACAGACACAGGCACAUGUAGACACACAUGGACAUACAAUACUCAGAUGAACACAGAGAUAAUAUACACAUAGACACAGAUCUAUAGAUACACAAAGACAUACACACAGAUAUACAUAGAUGCACACAUAGACACAGAUACACAUGUCAUCACACAUGGACACACACAGACACACACCAAUACACACAUAGACAUACGAAGACACAGGUACACAGACACGUAUACACACAGACACGCAUAUAUACAUACAGACGCAGAUAUACACACAGACACAGACAUACACACACACACAGACACAGAUAUACACAGAUACAUGGACAGAUACACAUUCACAUACACACAUAGAUACACAGAAACACACAGACACACAGACACAUAGAGACACACACACAGCCACACAGGCCCUGAGCCUCCCUGGGCCCUCCCUUGUGCAGAGGCGGAGGGGCUGGCUGUCGGGGAGGGCACCUGGAGAGGACACACAGCCCCAUCAGAGACCAGGGAGUGGCUCUGGGAGCUCUUUUCGUCCAAAGGGGCUGGAGCUCCAGUUAGCCAAGGUGAGGGCGUGGAGGAUUCCUGGGGGAAGCUUCGUGCUGCAAGGUGGAAAAGACAGAUAACAAGAGAAAAACAGAAGCUUAAUAGCAUGUAUACCUUGGUCUGCAAGGGACGGACUCGGGACAGGCUAUGUCGCAAAGGCGUGGCUUGGAGCUCAGCCUUAAAGACCAUGUUCGACGGAAACAAAGAGAAAGAGUGUGUGGGGAGGGGCCCAAGAAAUUACCCCAAACUGGGGUCAGGCCUUCUCCAUGGAUGAGCGUCUCCGGUGACUUACAGGCGGCCUUCUGGCCCAGAGAGGGGGCACCCUGGUGAGCGCAGAUGCCUGUACGGAUGUGACUUUCUCUCAUAGAACAGCAGCUUCCACUCUUGUUUUCAGAAUUUCUCCUGUGGUUGCAGUUUCUCAAAAUAAGCAGCUCAAAAUAAUGCUUAUGCCAAAGAGGCAUAUUUUGGGGUGGCAUAUUCUGGUCUGCUCUACGUGGAAGCGGACAGAAAAAUGGGGCAGAGGCCAGGGAGGGGAGCGGGACCGACUUCCAGUUCCCAGACCCGAGCAAGGGAACCUGAGGCCGAGCUCUGGAGCUUGGGGUCUGGAAGGGGUUCUCUGAGGACACUCUGGGAGUGGGGGAACAGCUGCCUCCUCAGGUUUCCCCCAAGGGAUCCUGCCUGGGGAGACCUGGACUGGGCAAGGCUUGGCAGCUGCCCUGCCAGGAGGAGGGAGACGGCUGCAGUGGGGGGGUGCAGGGUCGCUGGGGUCCCACCCGGGGGUGCUGGGACCGGCCAGAGGACACUGCGAUUUCCCAAUGGGCCAGGAAGGAAGGAGGCGCUUUCCAGGCAGAGCAUGACCCCGCACAGGAGGCAGAGACAGAGUCUCUGAGUGUCCCCGUCAGGUCCCUGGGACUGUGGCAGGGGAAGAAGCCGCAGUACCUCCUGCCCUUUAGGACAGGAGAGGUUGUCGUCCCAGCGUUGCCCAGCAGCUGGUUGGAGCCCAGGGCUCCUCAGAUGAGCCAGCGCCUGAGCCCUGAGCUGCCAGCUGGCCUGGCUGGAGCCGCCACUGAUCUUCCCAGGAGAAAGAGGCCGCCGUGCGUAAGUAGCGAGGUAUAAGAGGACGUGUAGAGCCGUGUCGCUCGCGCAAGAAGGGGAAAGAAGGAAGCCUGUCUGCAUGGCUGCGCAGGGGAUAUUGGAACAGAACUGAAGGAACUCAUGCAACGCUUCUCUGUGAAGGGGGCACCGCGAUGUAUGGACAAGGGUGGGAAAGGGAUGCUGGGCCAUAAAGUUUGGGGUGCGUGAUGGUGUGGAGGAGAAAGCCCUCCUGGGAGCUGUGGCCAGGGAGUGUGCAGUCCACGAGCAGAUGGAGCUUUAUGUGCCUCCCACCUCCUCCCAGGGGCCCCCCACGACUCGCUGAGGCCCCAUCAGCAACAGGAUGACGGGUUUUCUUUCCCACACAGAUCGGGGACGUCCCAGCCUCCUGAGGUGGGGCAGAGGCGGGCACCGCAGCCCAAGAGCUGGCUUUCCCCCUGCACCUCCACCCAUGCGUUGGCCUGGAGUGGCCCAGCGGAGGGUCCAGGUGGGGGUGCUGGAGGGGCCCACCCAGCUCAGGCCUGGCACCUGCACCUUUCUGGAUCCCACGAUGUUUUGCUGAGGGUUACUCAUCCAAGACCUGCCCGGAGGCUCCGAGCUGUUUACCACAGGCCAGCUCUGGCCGUAGCCUAUUCUGGGAGCCUGGGGGUGCUGGGAGGAGGCUGGGGCUCUGGGUGGCAGGAGGAGGAGAGCCGUCUUGUCCUUACUGAGCGUCCAGCGGGCGCCAGAUGCUGCGCCGCGUGCAAUUCUAAUCCUGGCCGGCAAAGCCAGAACGGGACAAUAUUCCUUCCUCCCCAGGCCUCCCGCUUGGCUGUGGGUGCUGACGGGCAAUGGGCCUGGCUAUCGGGGCUCACAGGGGAGCCGGGAGAGCCGCUAGCAGGAGAAAAUGUGAGCUCUGCAUCUGCUGGGCUGGGUUCGGGGGACGCGGGGUGGCUGGGGAGGGUCGUGCUCGUCCCUCCGGCUGCUGUCGCUGGCCCGCCGGCCAGUCCGCCCCAACGCUGGACUCCUGGGCUAUCCGUUCCCCACCCACCGUCUGAGGGUCUUUGAAAAUAGAACUCAUUCGUUUUCAUUAAAAGCAACCGAUCAAGAAGCCGAAAACACAAGAAUAAAACAAUGUAAAAGCUUGACUUUAUUUUGUAUCCGUCAAACACAGGACUCACAGUCCGUUACACAUGGAGCAUUCGCAACACUGAUCAUGUUCUGAUGGUCACACAAUGUCGGGAAAUUCCAAAAGGCAGAUAAUCUAGAGUCUGUUCACGGCAUCCACACACACACACCGGUGCACAGGCACACGAGCACACAGUCUACAGAUUGUUCGUAGACACAGUGUGGUAUAAUGAACAAAAGCUGGCUUUAAAAAUAGUUCUACCUGGGCCCGGUGCGGUGGCUCACGCCUGUAAUCCCAGCGCUUUGGGAGGCCGAGGCGGGUGGAUCACCAGAGGUCAGGAGUUCGAGACCAG